GACGAACCGUGCAAACGUUGUUCGGAAUCACUGGGCUUAAAGGGCGCGUAGGCGGCUUGUCAAGUCCGGGGUGAAAUCUUUCGGCUCAACCGGACAAGGGCCUUGGAUACUGACAAGCUGGAGGAAGGUAGGGGCAUGUGGAACUUCCGGUGGAGCGGUGAAAUGCGUUGAUAUCGGAAGGAACGCCGGUGGCGAAAGCGACGUGCUGGACCUUUUCUGACGCUGAGGCGCGAAAGCUAGGGGAG
Molecule: ribosomal RNA, 245 nt
Filed under: uncultured bacterium
Lineage: Bacteria
Description: partial 16S ribosomal RNA
Rfam family: Bacterial small subunit ribosomal RNA
Source: RNAcentral